AUCAUCAUAGCAAAGCUAUUCUGUUUCUUAUUCUUCCUGGAUCGCCAUCUUGGCUUUGACAUUGUUCAUAAAGAAUUAGAAGAUAAUCUGUUACAAGUCUAUUAAUUUAAAAAAGAAAAAAGGGGGAUAGAAAUGAGGAGGAAGAUAGCCCUGUUCUUUAUACUGAUACUGACUAUUUCUGGGGGUCUUACCAAUCCGGUUCAGAAUGAAAGGCAGCAAGACACAGGAGGAUUGAGUAGAAGAAACGGUGGACGGAGUGGAAGGAUUGGUGGAUUUCCAUUUGUAAAUAGACCUCGGCGCCGAACUCGACCGCCAUUGGUAUCUUUAAGGGAUCGAAGCUAGAACUUGUAUUUCGACUUUAUCUCAGAAACUCUCAGUUUGAUAGAUCUGCAAAAUUGACCUGAUUUUUAAGCCUGAAAUAUUAUGUUUAUGCAGAGAGAGAGAGAGAGAGAGAGAGAGAGAGAGAGAGAGAGAGAGAGAGAUGUCUUAUGCUAUUUGACCAGGGAUUUACUUAAAUAUAUCUACUUUGCUGGUCAUGUAUUUCCAUUAUAUGUCUAACAUAUAGUCAUAUACACUGUGUGAUACUGUGUUGUGUAGUGAAAGGCUCCUAUAUGAAACAGAAUACUAAUAUUGAAAUAUCUUGCAAAUUAUUUUUCGCAAAUCACAAGAAAUUAUUUGUAUAAGUAUGAAAUUAAAAAAAUGUAUACAUGUUUCACUGGUAUAAAUACUAUUUUCUAUUUGUAGAAUGAAAGUUCUACCCAUCGAUAUUGAAAUAGUAAAUUAUUCACAAUAUUCAAA
Long non-coding RNA from Saccostrea echinata, 798 nucleotides. RefSeq lists it as uncharacterized. NCBI's taxonomy places the organism in Eukaryota, Metazoa, Mollusca, Bivalvia, Ostreida, Ostreidae. The record is from RefSeq and is a predicted model, not a curated record. The transcript has 2 exons.